GUGGGGAAUAUUGGACAAUGGGGGGAACCCUGAUCCAGCCAUGCCGCGUGUGUGAAGAAGGCCUUUUGGUUGUAAAGCACUUUAAGCGAGGAGGAGGCUACCGAGAUUAAUACUCUUGGAUAGUGGACGUUACUCGCAGAAUAAGCACCGGCUAACUCUGUGCCAGCAGCCGCGGUAAUACAGAGGGUGCAAGCGUUAAUCGGAUUUACUGGGCGUAAAGCGCGCGUAGGUGGCCAAUUAAGUCAAAUGUGAAAUCCCCGAGCUUAACUUGGGAAUUGCAUUCGAUACUGGUUGGCUAGAGUAUGGGAGAGGAUGGUAGAAUUCCAGGUGUAGCGGUGAAAUGCGUAGAGAUCUGGAGGAAUACCGAUGGCGAAGGCAGCCAUCUGGCCUAAUACUGACGCUCAGGCACGAAAGCGUGGGGAGCAAACAGGAUUAGAAACCCGAGUAGUCC
RNAcentral lists this ribosomal RNA (451 nucleotides) under uncultured bacterium. Its description in RNAcentral is "bacterial SSU rRNA". It matches the Rfam family "Bacterial small subunit ribosomal RNA", at positions 354 to 796 of the family's 1533-position model. The record is from RNAcentral.